RNAcentral lists this ribosomal RNA (561 nucleotides) under uncultured bacterium. RNAcentral describes it as "partial 16S ribosomal RNA". It matches the Rfam family "Bacterial small subunit ribosomal RNA", at positions 355 to 932 of the family's 1533-position model. The record is from RNAcentral.
UGGGGAAUAUUGCACAAUGGGCGCAAGCCUGAUGCAGCAACGCCGCGUGAGGGACGACGGCCUUCGGGUUGUAAACCUCUUUUAGUAGGGAAGAAGCGAAAGUGACGGUACCUGCAGAAAAAGCACCGGCUAACUACGUGCCAGCAGCCGCGGUAAUACGUAGGGUGCGAGCGUUGUCCGGAAUUAUUGGGCGUAAAGAGCUCGUAGGCGGUCUGUCGCGUCUGCUGUGAAAACCCGAGGCUCAACCUCGGGCCUGCAGUGGGUACGGGCAGACUAGAGUGCGGUAGGGGAGAAUGGAAUUCCUGGUGUAGCGGUGGAAUGCGCAGAUAUCAGGAGGAACACCGAUGGCGAAGGCAGUUCUCUGGGCCGUAACUGACGCUGAGGAGCGAAAGCGUGGGGAGCGAACAGGAUUAGAUACCCUGGUAGUCCACGCCGUAAACGUUGGGCGCUAGAUGUGGGGACCAUUCCACGGUUUCCGUGUCGCAGCUAACGCAUUAAGCGCCCGCCUGGGGAGUACGGCCGCAAGGCUAAAACUCAAAGGAAUUGACGGGGUCAUAGCUG